UUAUUCAUUUCCAUUUUAGUUCAGUUUUCAAUAUAUGUUUCAUUUUUAAUUCCAGAUUUAAUUUCUCUUAUGAAUGUUUUGAAGUUUGAUGUUUUUCCAAACUAAAUUUGACAUAGUUUCUUUAACCAGACUCAGUGGAUGGGUAACAAAUUAAUCUCUGAAUGUUGGUUCAUUAAUUCUAAUAUAAAUUUUAAAGUGAUCUGUGAAGUUAUAUAUUUUUCUGAAAAAAAAAAAAGUGAGAGUUCUUUCUCCUGCCUUACUCCAUCCAUUUUUAGUUUUCCUAAAAAACACUCCGAAAAAAUAUCUCCAUCCUUAAAAAAAAAAGAUUGAAAUUUCAAACUAGAAAAUAAAAUUGAAACAUAAAAGAAAAAUGAUACAUAAUGAAGGUGUCAUACUUUGAAUCAAAAUCUCCCUUUUUGUUGAAGAAUUAUUUAGGGGUCGUUUUUGUGAUUUCUUUUUUUUUUUAUAUUGAUUGUUUUUCCCCCCUGUUUAAUGCAAGAAAAUCUGUUACAGUUUUUGUUCCAAUUUGAUUUGGCCUCCCAAUUAGGAUCAGUUAUCUUCUGACCAUGUAGUCUCCUUGUUGAAUUGUCUGUGCAUGUGGCAUCUGGUAGAAAUAUUUCAUGCAUGCAGCAUUUCAUUGAGGAAUCUAACUGUGCAGCAUCUUGUAGAAGUGUUUGUGCAUGCAGCACCUGGUGCAAUUUUCUUUAAGAAGAAAAAUGUAUUUAAAAU
Long non-coding RNA from Octopus sinensis (East Asian common octopus), 729 nucleotides. RefSeq lists it as uncharacterized. NCBI's taxonomy places the organism in Eukaryota, Metazoa, Mollusca, Cephalopoda, Octopoda, Octopodidae. The record is from RefSeq and is a predicted model, not a curated record. The transcript has 2 exons.